Molecule: non-coding RNA, 724 nt
Organism: Cyanistes caeruleus (blue tit)
Lineage: Eukaryota; Metazoa; Chordata; Aves; Passeriformes; Paridae
Source: RefSeq, a predicted model, not a curated record
CAUUCUUCAUACCUCAGGUGGGGCUCCUGGGCUAUUAUGAAAUGCCAAACUUCCCUUGGGGCUUUGAGGAUUGCACUUCUGAAUUCCUCAGAAGUUCAGGGAAGUAAAAGGGACUCUGCUGCCGAGUGGCCCUUAAUUUACACUUGAAUUCAGUGGAACAGCUUGUUUGGAAAAACUACAGAACAAAACUUGGUUUUAUGUUACUGGAAAGAUGUGUGCUUUCGGUAUCAGCAGGCAAUCGGAGUUUCUAUGGACCUGGUGCUAACAGAGUUAUAACAGCAUGAAACUUGAGUGAUACGGUGAUGAAUGAGCCUGCAGGUUGGGGGAAACAAAAUCAUGUGCUUUGGAACAGGAUGGUGUUUGGUAGGCAAGGAGGAGGAUCCUGCCACUGUAUAUGGUCACUAUUUUGUUCAUGUUCUGAAAUUCAGGAAGAGCCACACCUUAGACACUUCACGGCUUGACACUGCAGGAUGAUAACUGACUGCCACUUUGCAUGUGGAACAAGCACUCUGAUAUAAUACUCCUGGCUGCACUUGCCUGUUUGCAUGUUGCAGCUUGUGUCAUGUUUCAAACUUGUGAUGACAAAUAGGAACCAAAUUUCUGCACCUCUGCCCAUUGGUAUUGAUGGACUGGAUUUUCUCAGGAGCCAUCUCUGGAUGGAUUUGUGUCUCCAGAACAACUGCUUAUUUGCAUUAAUAAAUAGCCUAGUGUUAUGACUAAUUAA